Molecule: long non-coding RNA, 1196 nt
Filed under: Oryzias javanicus (javanese ricefish)
Lineage: Eukaryota; Metazoa; Chordata; Actinopteri; Beloniformes; Adrianichthyidae
Description: lncRNA (ENSOJAG00000011096.1)
Source: RNAcentral
AUGCUGGAAUUAAAUUUUGUGUGCCCUUGUUAUGGACUGGAACGUAAUCAAUCUUUGAUUUUUUGUUUUAUUUUUGUUCCAGCUGUGAUAUUCUUUAUUUUAAUGUACAUUUAUUAUGUACUAAACCUAGGAUGUUCCAUAAAUAGAAAGAACUGUUGCUGUUGCAAAUGCAAUUGGUGUGGUUGGAAUUUGUGCAUGCACUGCUUUGUUCCCCCUAUAGUAUGGAUUAUAUUAAUGUUGCUUGAUGGCCGGUACAUAGCUUGUGCAUUCACAGACUGGUCAGGCCAUUAUGAAGUUGCAGAUGGUGGUGGACUGAUGAGAUGGUGCAAAUCAGACCAUAACACAGAUGAGACGUUAAGACGUACUGAGGAAUUGUACACAACGUCUCAGUGGUAUGGAUUCGGGGGCUGCUUUGUCCUUGGUCUGAUCUUGUGCACUGGCUACUGUUGCUGUUAUGAACCAAGGGGCCAGAAUCCCAACCACCAGGAUCCAGAGCAACAGGAUGGGGAAAGAGUUGGGGAAGAAAUGCGUCAAAUUUCCCCGCCUUGAUAUUAUGGAAAAAGCCUCUACCAAUUUUGGGUGGCAGACAAAUGCCAGUAAACGGUAGAAAACCAAAGAAGAAUCCCCUCACUACCAUUCCCUGCUUUGUCCAGUAUUAUUAUUAUGUGAACACCACGGGCUGAAUGCAGAUUCAUGAAACUGGAUAUAGCGUAUUUGUACUAUAUGCUCAUUUUUUUUAAAGCCUUUAAGUUUGUGUGUAUAACUCAUAUAAUCAUACCAAAUUAUAGCUCGUAGAACAUAAAACAAAUCAUAGUUUGUAGAAAUGUUGAUCGGUUUGGAUGUUUUCUUUUACUCAUAUUAUUCUAGUUUUCAGUUGACUGAAAUGUUAGACUUAAUGUUGCCUAUUUUUAUUAAGUGGUAAAUGAAAAUGCAGUUCUGACUUCAUCUCCCUGGGAACUGAAGGUCACAGACAUACUAGAUAAAAACAUAUUUGGACAUUUUGACUCCACUGAAAGUUGGCAUUAGUAUUUUUUAACCUCAGGUUUUUACUUUAACAAAGUUUUAGGAGGAAGCGCACUCUUUUGUGUGUAUGUCUAUAACAGUACCAAUUAUGAUUUAUGAAUGCACCUUGAUUGUGUAAAUUGAAUGUAACCAUCGCCUGUUUGCUUCUUGCUCCAAUAAAAUGCUAAAAGACA